GUGCUCGAUUCUGUAGCAUAUAUACUAAAACUUCGAACAAUAUAGAGAAGAUUAGCAUAGUCCCUGCGCAAGAAUGACAUGCAAAUUCAUGAAGUGAAUUUUUUAAUU
Molecule: small nuclear RNA, 108 nt
Organism: Mastomys coucha (southern multimammate mouse)
Lineage: Eukaryota; Metazoa; Chordata; Mammalia; Rodentia; Muridae
Source: RefSeq, a predicted model, not a curated record